Zea mays is the source of this 1071-nucleotide long non-coding RNA. RefSeq annotates it as MIR166dHG. NCBI's taxonomy places the organism in Eukaryota, Viridiplantae, Streptophyta, Magnoliopsida, Poales, Poaceae. The transcript has a single exon. The record is from RefSeq and is marked validated.
GCAAAGAAAUAGAGAUGAGCUAGAGGGGGCCGGGGCCGGGAGAGCCAAGGGCCCGAGGGAGAUGGAGAAAGAUGUGAAGCUAUUUGCUUCUGAGUGGAAUGUUGUCUGGUUCAAGGUCUUUUGCUUUGUGAUCCAUCUGUGUAGAGCUUCUAAGUAUUCCUUGGAUCUGCAAGAUCUCGGACCAGGCUUCAUUCCCCUCAGAAAUAGCUUCAAAAAUGAUAUCGCGGAGAGUUAGGAGAGCUACUAGCUAGUGUAUAAAUUUGUUCUAGUUUUUUUUUUGAAAUAUUUGUUUGAGUGUUCGUGAGAUUCCUGGCCGUUCUUAGUAGUAUGCAUGGUGUGGAGCACCGUACUUCCGCUCCUGGAUCUUUACUACUACUCCACUGUGCUUUUUUGUUUGUUUGUUUGCUUGCUUGCUUGCUGCGAAAUCGAGGAGCAGCGCAAGAUUGGUGUAAUGAUGGCCUGCCUUUUGACCCCUCCUUUCUCUGUGCAUCUCUGUGCAUCUGGCAGGCAUGCAGCAGGUGAUGAAAGUUCCCAUCAUUACCUCUUGAUUGGGAGAAUCUUCGCUUUCUCUCUCUCGGCUUCUUCUUCUUCGUGUUCAUUUUUUUUCCUCCUCUCCGUUGUCUCUCUUUGUUUGCAGCAUAUGGCUUUGCUGGUACGGUGCUCAGAUUGUUUCCAAGAACAUGGCAUUCACAAAGCUGGUGCAAAGCUUUACAUCUGCAUCGAUCUGAUGACUAUAUAUAUAUUCUUGUUUUCAGAUAUCUGUUGCUUAUUUCUAAGUUCGAGGAUAGUUUUUGCGUGGUGCGCUGGACCUGCUGCUUCAAAGUUUUUGGAGAGCUUGGGACGAGAUCCACUAUUUAUAGGCGUGUAUUUUCUUCAUAUUAUGUUGACACCCAUGGAGGUUGAUGUAAACAACGGGAGCUCAUGCAUGCAUGUAUUCCUAGAGCCAACAAUAAUAACAUGAUAUAUAACAUCGAUGUAUAAUAAAUAUAAUGCUCCACAUCAGGUGUGUGUUUGUUCUUCUCAUCAGGCGUUUCUGAUACAUGAGGUAUACCUGUUGCCUAUUGAUGCAAA